This 253-nucleotide ribosomal RNA is filed under the name uncultured bacterium. RNAcentral describes it as "partial 16S ribosomal RNA". It matches the Rfam family "Bacterial small subunit ribosomal RNA", at positions 524 to 776 of the family's 1533-position model. The record is from RNAcentral.
UACAGAGGGUGCGAGCGUUAAUCGGAAUUACUGGGCGUAAAGCGCGCGUAGGCGGUUUUGUAAGUCGGGUGUGAAAUCCCCAGGCUCAACCUGGGAACUGCAUUCGAGACUGCAUAGCUAGAGUAUGGGAGAGGGAAGUGGAAUUUCAGGUGUAGCGGUGAAAUGCGUAGAUAUCUGAAGGAACAUCAGUGGCGAAGGCGACUCUUUGGCCUGUAACUGACGCUGAGGCGCGAAAGCGUGGGGAGCAAACAGG